AAAAAAAAAAAAAAAAAAAAAAAAAAGACCAUUGUGUUGAGUUGUGUGGGUGUUUUCAUCAGAUCUAAGCAAGUUUGUGAAAUAAGGAAUCUGAUUUUCAACUCACUUUCACGUUCAAGGUCUUAGGGAAAAGGGGUCACCAGCCUUGCAGCAGUCAGAGUUCAGCCCAGUCUGCACCCCUCUCCCCUCCACUCCCCCCCCUAAAAACGUGAGCAUUGGGCUGGUAGUCAAGUUCAGAACAGAGCAGAAGUCAGCUCUGUGCAAAAUAGCUUCGUGUUUUAAGGGUCAGAGUUUAAGCUGGCAAAUUAGGACUGAUUUGUUCAAGUGAAGUAUGUUUUAUAUGAAUGCCUCACUUGGGCCUUAAAAGUUCUGAAAUUUCUUAAUUGUGUUUUGUUUUUAAGUGUCCCCAGUGCUGCCAUGUAGCAGGCUCCCAGUGUGGGGAUACAUUGGAAUCGGGCCCUGCAGGCCCUGUCAUGGUAUGGGAGCAGGCGUGGCACACCUUUGAAAUAAAGGCUGGGACUGGUAAGGCCCGAAUUCUAUCAGAAAUCUUCACUUUAAGUUACUCUCCAGUGGUUUUGAAAAUGUUACAUUUGUGUGUGAAUCAUAGCCUUAUUUUCCUUUUCUGUCUAAACACAGUGAGAAGUCAUUGUUAAUUGUUUUCCUUAACACUUUGACAAAAGGACCAGUGGACCAAUCUGACAAAGCCAUUCUGGUUCCAUUCCUCAAGUCUACUGAGAAUAGUUUUAAAGCUAUGCAGAAAAGGGAGCUGUUAUUCACACUGCCCUUACUUUAUUAUAGAAUAUGGAGUUAAAAACAAAGUGUGAAAUUCAGAACUUUACCAAUGUAUUCCUAGGCUGUGAGUACUUUUGCAGCCCGAAGUGUGAAAAUAUGUAAAGAUGCUUUGUUAUGCUGCUAUUGAUCUGCCAUGAUUUAUAUUUAUUCUUUUAUGGCAUGUAAUGGUGAUUAGUAAUAUUUUAAUGUAGAUUUUGAUUUAUUUCAGCAAUAGUAAUUUUAAGAUAUUCUUUGAAUGAAAAUGUCUUCGUUUCUAUGAUACAGGUCAUUUUGUAGUAUUUAACCAAUUAAGAUGCACUGCUUACUUUUCUGAGCACUAUUUAAUGAUGGGGUAAAACCCAGUUGGCUCAACCAGCUAGCAUAAGGAUUAGCUGUGAAUAAUGCUGACAGAUGUAAUGGUUCCUCGGGAACAAUCAUUUAAGCUUUAAUGGUAACUCAAUCAUAAGUCCACAGAUUUUUUUUUUUCUAGCUGAGAUUUUAGAAAAUUACUUGUGAAUUACAUACUUGUUUUAGUUUGCUCUUAGUUUUUUAGCAUAAAGAAUACCUUGAUUGGCUUUUGUUAAUCUAAACAUGCUUCCUGGGCCACUUUUCUGCUUCCCAAUUUAGUGUCUUCUAUUGCAUUUACCUAGUUAUUUGUGAAUUGCGCAGAAGUCAGGGAAGCUUUUAAGUUCUCAUACUCCAUUAGGAAUAGUUUGUUUUCAAAGGUAGUGUGUAAAUUCAGCAACCAAAAAUGAAUUGCUUGCGUGUCACCUGGGAAAGAGAAAGUUACAGUAAGACGUGAAGUGUUGCUGACACCAGGAGAUGGUGUCCAGGGAGCCACAUGACUGUUCUCAGAAAACAGUUGCCCUGGCAGGUUUGCUCGCAUCCCAGGUGUAGUCUCAGUGGGCUUUGGUAAGCGGAAGAAUCGAGGGAUUCUUGUUAUGAUAGACAUUUGAAUUGAAAUGAUGAUUUGAGUAUGGACAAUAUUACGAGAGAGUUGAGAGAAUAUCCUGAAGAGGGUCUUUAAUCAAACCUGUUAAUUUUCACCCUUUAAUCCAAGGAAUGAAUAUGACAGACAGUAAAGAGAAUCUGUGAUAAGGUUUCCUUAGUGUGAAAGUAAAUUUUUAAGUGCCCAAGUCAUGGAGACUUGAAAAGGGUAAACCUGUUUCAACUCCCAGAUUUAUGUAUUCAAAGCAUUUUGAAAAUUCAGAAGCCAGAAGUCCCCCGUCAUGAUGACUAGGAAGUUCAGGCCAGAAUGAGUCCCUAGAGAAGUCAGGCCAAGCCUGAACAGUUGCAGUUGGAUGACCCUGGCCCGAAAGUCGCAGUUCAGUUGCCUUAUUCCUCAUUCAGGCUUCUGUCCAGAACCUCAUGCUAGUUUAGGUUGCAUGUUUACAUUGCUGCAGUGACUUUACUGGAAUCUUAGUUUUAAACCUUAGUUGAAUCAAAACGGACACCAAAACAGAGAUGCUUCUUGCUAGGUUUGCAGAACUUCAGGUGACCUGCAUUUAGGUCACCGUGACUGUCUGUAUGCCCCCCACCUCACCUGGGUGGGUGGCACUACUCUUCUUUAGUUGUAGUUAAUGUGGUGUCUUUGAAUGGACUCCCACCUCCCAAACAGCCUUGCUCCUUUCCUUUAAGGAAGAAGCUCCUCCUCAUUGUGCAUCUCUCCCGAGGUUUGUAAGGUGUGACUUUGAAUCCUAGGUUUUCAAGUGACUGUCAGUUUCAGAAGCAUUCAUGCCGUCUGCAUGUGAAUGUGAGUGUCCAUGGCUUACUUUGGAAGGCUUUUGGGAGUGGGGUUUUGUUAAGAGCCCAAGUUGACCUGGGUCCUUCUCUGCCGGAGGAUGCACAGGCUAAGUUUAGAAUAUGACCCGAUUUUGCAUGUCAAGAAUUGUUCUUUUUCCACCCAUGUUUUCUUGUAAAAAUUUUAAACCCCAUCAAAUCUUCUACUAGGUAAAUAUUUUUAAACCACGCAGCUUUAUUACUCUCCUCCCCAAAGAAUGUAGUUUGAAAUUUUCUCAUUUUGGUAGUAGAGGCCAUAACUGCCAUUGUAUUACUAACAAUGCAACAUGAAAUUGAAGGUGCCUAACUGCUUAAAAAACAAAAUUAGCCAUCAUACUGUAACUCUGGGGAAAAUGAAACACAGAGGAAUGAGAGGCAGCACAGGCACGAGUGGGCUCAGUCCACGUGAGUGAAGAUGAGGAAUCACAGGGACGUGUGUCCUGCAUUCUUGCUGCGCGUUUGCUGCUGAGCACGUGUUUCUUUCUUACUUGUCUUUGGUUUUCUUCAGUUGUAUUCAAAGGGCCUUCUGGAACCAAUAGUGCCCUGUGUUUUCAGGUGUCUAAAACGUUAAGAUCUGAAACAAGUAAAGCAACUUACACUGAGCUUUUUAAAGCUGUGCUUGAGAACAUUUCCCUGAGUGGGCCGGGGCCUCAAGGAGCCUGUUUUUCAGCAAAUUCAGCAGGAGAGAUGUGUGCAAUGUUUCACUCAGUUUUGUGUUUGACAUCUUCAUUUGAAAUGCUAUGAUGCAAUAUCGUUCACUUUGAAUGGGGAAAAUGCAAAAUUGUGUUUCCCUUUUAUCUGUGUGAUUCCUAAAGAAACGUGUUUUUAACAGUAUGUGUUCUAAAUGGUUUUUUAUUCUGUAUUCCUGCUUUGGCCAUGUGGCUCUCAUGACCUUCAGUGUACCAGAGUCUCAGCACCCUGAAAUGUGAGCAUGAGAAGCUCUGGGGUUACAGCAAGAUUUUUGUUCCAUGAGCGCAAUACAGCAUCAUUAACAUUUUUAAUGGUAUGGAUUUUAUACCAUCCGUGUAUGUUUGCAAAUAUUAAGUUAUUACCUGUUUUCAGAUGAGCAUUUUUCAUCCUAAAUUUUAUAUGUUUGCAAAUAUAUUUUUUUAAUAAAAGUUCAAAACCAAGUUUUAGCACCUA
Molecule: long non-coding RNA, 3693 nt
Organism: Phocoena sinus (vaquita)
Lineage: Eukaryota; Metazoa; Chordata; Mammalia; Artiodactyla; Phocoenidae
Source: Ensembl